Molecule: ribosomal RNA, 403 nt
Filed under: bacterium
Lineage: Bacteria
Description: partial 16S ribosomal RNA
Rfam family: Bacterial small subunit ribosomal RNA
Source: RNAcentral
UGGGGAAUAUUGCACAAUGGAGGGAACUCUGAUGCAGCGACGCCGCGUGAACGAAGAAGGCUUUCGAGUCGUAAAGUUCUUUUAUAUGGGAAGAUAAUGACGGUACCAUAAGAAGAAGCCCCGGCUAACUACGUGCCAGCAGCCGCGGUAAUACGUAGGGGGCUAGCGUUGUCCGGAAUCACUGGGCGUAAAGGGUUCGCAGGCGGAAAUGCAAGUCAGGUGUAAAAGGCAGUAGCUUAACUACUAUAAGCAUUUGAAACUGCAUAUCUUGAGAAGAGUAGAGGUAAGUGGAAUUUUUAGUGUAGCGGUGAAAUGCGUAGAUAUUAAAAAGAAUACCGGUGGCGAAGGCGACUUACUGGGCUCAUUCUGACGCUGAGGAACGAAAGAGUGGGUAGCAAACAGG